GACGAACGCUGGCGGCGUGCUUAACACAUGCAAGUCGAACGGAAAGGCCCUGCUUUUGUGGGGUGCUCGAGUGGCGAACGGGUGAGUAACACGUGAGUAACCUGCCCUUGACUUUGGGAUAACUUCAGGAAACUGGGGCUAAUACCGGAUAGGAGCUCCUGCUGCAUGGUGGGGGUUGGAAAGUUUCGGCGGUUGGGGAUGGACUCGCGGCUUAUCAGCUUGUUGGUGGGGUAGUGGCUUACCAAGGCUUUGACGGGUAGCCGGCCUGAGAGGGUGACCGGCCACAUUGGGACUGUGAUACGGCCCAGACUCCUACGGGAGGCAGCAGUGUGGAAUAUUGCACAAUGGGCGGAAGCCUGAUGCAGCAACGCCGCGUGCGGGAUGACGGCCUUCGGGUUGUAAACCGCUUUCGCCUGUGACGAAGCGUGAGUGACGGUAAUGGGUAAAGAAGCACCGGCUAACUACGUG
RNAcentral lists this ribosomal RNA (468 nucleotides) under uncultured bacterium. RNAcentral's name for it is "partial 16S ribosomal RNA". It matches the Rfam family "Bacterial small subunit ribosomal RNA", at positions 28 to 507 of the family's 1533-position model. The record is from RNAcentral.